UACGUAGGGGGCAAGCGUUGUCCGGAUUUAUUGGGUUUAAAGGGUGCGUAGGCGGCCGAUUAAGUCUGGGGUGAAAGCCCACUGCUCAACAGUGGAACUGCCCUGGAAACUGGUUGGCUUGAGUACAGACGAGGGUGGCGGAAUGGAUACUGUAGCGGUGAAAUGCAUAGAUAGUAGCCAGAACACCGAUUGCGAAGGCAGCUGCCUGGACUGUAACUGACGCUGAGGCACGAAAGCGUGGGGAGCGAACAGG
This 253-nucleotide ribosomal RNA is filed under the name uncultured bacterium. RNAcentral's name for it is "partial 16S ribosomal RNA". It matches the Rfam family "Bacterial small subunit ribosomal RNA", at positions 524 to 776 of the family's 1533-position model. The record is from RNAcentral.